Molecule: unclassified non-coding RNA, 1724 nt
Filed under: Portunus trituberculatus (swimming crab)
Lineage: Eukaryota; Metazoa; Arthropoda; Malacostraca; Decapoda; Portunidae
Description: zinc finger protein 98-like, transcript variant X2
Source: RNAcentral
UGUGAAGUUGUAAACACUGUCACUGUCAGUGUGUACGUGUGUGUGACUUUCUGGCGCUUCCUACAGUUACUACAUGGUGCAUUAAUGGCUAUACAGGUCGGUGUGAGGCCCAGCCAGAGCCACACACUCUCCUGACUACCAGGAGUGCAGCAAUGGCCAUCCAUUGCCCUCUGCCCUGCCCUGCCCUGCCAUGGUGAGUCCUUCCCCUGCACCAGCAACACACGCCAGGCCAUACUGUGGCUAGCUUUGUGCAACCCACCAGGCUUCCACCACCUGCCAGCGCCACUAGUGCUGGUGGCAGCCGUCCGUCCCUCGAGCCCUGCACCAGGCCAGACCAGAGCCCAGGCUACUGCUGCCCUGCCUGGCACCGACCACUCCAGCUGGAUUCCCUGAAGGUUUGUGCAGGAGAAGGUGUGGCGUGAGUCACCGGGAGCAGUGCUGCAGCAGAGACUGUGAGGCUGGCCAGCAGCAGCAUGAGCAGCAAGAAGCCGCAGUCUGUCUCAGGUGUUGGGAGGUGCAGGCAUGGGGGGGGGGAAUCACCAAGAGCCAGGCAGCUCCUGCCACAAAGGAGAGGCCAGGUUAAAGUGUCAGCUGUGUGAUAAAACCUCUGAAUCUAAAAGUAAGGUGAGGCUCCAUGCCCAGAAACACAGUGGUGUUAAGGACUUAGAGCAUGGGAAGUGUGGCAGGAAAUUUGCCUUAAAAAAUCAUCUCACCAGACACAUAAAGGCACACACUGGAGUGAGUAAUUAUGAGUGUGAGGAGUGUGGAAAGAAAUUUACCAGAAAGAGUAACCUUGACACACACACCAUGACACACAAUGGUGUCAGGAACUAUGAAUGUGUAGAGUGUGGCAUGAAAUUUACCUUAAAGAGUAAUCUCACCAGACACAUCAAGGCACACAGUGGAGUCAAGAAGUAUAAGUGUGAGGAAUGUGGAAAGAAAUUUACCACACAGGGUAACCUCACCACACACACCCUGACACACAGUGGUGCAAAAAGGAGUGUCAGGCAUCACAAGUGUGAAGAGUGUGGUAUGAAAUUUACCGUAAAGAGUAAUCUCACUAGACACAUCAAGGCACACAGUGGAGUCAAGAAUCAUAAGUGUGGGGAGUGUGGCAAGAAAUUUUCCACACGUGGUAACCUCACCACACACAUUGUGACACACACUGGUGUCAGGAACUAUGAGUGUGAAGAGUGUGGCAUGAAAUUUACCAUAAAGAGUAAUCUCACCAGACACAUCAAGGCACACAGUGGAGUCAAGAAGUAUGAGUGUGAGGAGUGUGGCAAGAAAUUUGCCACAAAGAGUAACCUCACCACACACACCCUGACACACAAUGAUAUUAGGAAGUAUAAGUGUAAGGAGUGUGGCAAGAAGUAUACCAGAAAGUCUUACCUCACCAAACACUACUAUGAGACACACAUUUUGUGAAGAGUGUGGCAUGAAAUUGAGUGACUACUGACUACAAAGAAUAACCUCAGCAGACUCACCAAGACACCAAUGGUACAUCACAGUGUCAGGAAUUGAGUGUGAGAAAUAUGGGGAAAUAUUUACCAUUGGUGCUCUCAACAGACAUGCCUUCAGACACACAGGCUUGUUCAAGUGUUCAAGUGUGGCAAGUGUUUCAAGACAUAGCCAGAGUUUGCUGGCCACAUGACCAUCCACUUUUGAGGAUGUAAAGUCAUCACAUAACAAGAGGAGCACUGCCAGGCGGGUGACGAUGUAAG